AACGAACGUUAGCGGCGCGCCUAACACAUGCAAGUCGAGCGAGAAGGGAGCAAUCCCAGUAAAGCGGCGCACGGGUGAGUAACACGUAGGUAAUCUACCUCGAGGUGGUGGAUAACCUUCCGAAAGGAGGGCUAAUACAGCAUGAGACCACGUCUUCGCAAGAGGAUGAGGUUAAAGCGGGUCACUACAAGUAAACUCGCGCCACGAGAUGAGCCUGCGGCCCAUCAUGGUAGUUGGUAGGGUAACGGCCUACCAAGCCGAAGACGGGUAGCUGGUCUGAGAGGAUGAUCAGCCACACUGGAACUGAGACACGGUCCAGACUCCUACGGGAGGCAGCAGUGGGGAAUCUUGCGCAAUGGGCGCAAGCCUGAUGCAGCGACGCCGCGU
RNAcentral lists this ribosomal RNA (387 nucleotides) under uncultured bacterium. RNAcentral describes it as "bacterial SSU rRNA". It matches the Rfam family "Bacterial small subunit ribosomal RNA", at positions 29 to 402 of the family's 1533-position model. The record is from RNAcentral.